AAAAAAGUUAUUAUUGAGAAAUCUUUGAACAUCAAAUCAGUUCUUACCAAGUAGAUCACAAGAUCCACAUUAUCAAAUCAUUUCAACUCUACUAUGUGCAUCCAAAGAGACUAGAUUGUUUAUAUUAACUGAUACAUGGUGGAUAAGGGAACAAAUGAGAUAUUUUUUUUAUGAUUUAUGCUCCCUUUUAAGAAAGGGCAUGCGAAGUUCUCAUCCCACAUCGGUGGAAUGUACAAACGAGAGUAUGUAUAUAGACUCAAUGGAGUGACACAAUGG
RNAcentral lists this long non-coding RNA (276 nucleotides) under Helianthus annuus (common sunflower). Its description in RNAcentral is "hypothetical non coding rna". Lineage: Eukaryota; Viridiplantae; Streptophyta; Magnoliopsida; Asterales; Asteraceae. The record is from RNAcentral.